This 45-nucleotide non-coding RNA is filed under the name Schistosoma curassoni. Lineage: Eukaryota; Metazoa; Platyhelminthes; Trematoda; Strigeidida; Schistosomatidae. The record is from RNAcentral.
AUCCAACUGGCGAGUCCCAAAUAGGACGAAACGCACGUCCUGGAU